UCCCUUGAGAAUCGGAAGAGAAGUGACUGACCACAGACUCAUGAUGGAAGUGUUUGUAGGGACAGCUCUCCGUUGAGGAAUCUGUUCGAGUAUCACUUGAGAUAGAAGGCUCCCUGCCUGAGGGAGACAUAUAUGCAAAAUUGAGGAAAGAGAAGACAGUGAUCAAGAGAAAGCGAAGAGAUCUUUGGAUGGCAACAAAGGUUCAUAGGACAAGAACUUCCUAGACGGAAGGGUGAGAAAUUGAAGCCAAGUAAUUUAGGCAAUACACUCUUGAAGGCUGAAGGAAACAAAACCUGGCACAAUCUAGGCUUCAGCAGGAAUUGGCUCUUCUUUCUUAUCUUCAAUGAAUCCUCUUUCUCCAAGCCCUGUUAUGUGCUGAGCUCAUAAGCAGUCACCAAACACUUCAAGAAGUGCUUGAACAUUCCUACCUCCUUGACAUGAGCAUCAUCAAAAUACAUCCAUUUGCGGAUCUUUGUUUGGAAAAAGAAUGUGGAAUAAUGUUUGCCAUAGUAACAGAUCAUUCCUACUAAGUACAGUUCAGACUGCUUGGCCCGAUCAUCCGUCACUCUGAAAAACAGCUGUGGGGAAAGAAGAGCAAGGAAAGAACAGUCACAUACUCAACCCUCACAUCAUCUAUCAGCAGACUCUA
Long non-coding RNA from Choloepus didactylus (southern two-toed sloth), 649 nucleotides. RefSeq lists it as uncharacterized. Lineage: Eukaryota; Metazoa; Chordata; Mammalia; Pilosa; Megalonychidae. The transcript has 3 exons. The record is from RefSeq and is a predicted model, not a curated record.